This 69-nucleotide transfer RNA is filed under the name Sphaerodactylus townsendi. Its description in RNAcentral is "tRNA-Ala". The record is from RNAcentral. Lineage: Eukaryota; Metazoa; Chordata; Lepidosauria; Squamata; Sphaerodactylidae.
GUGGUGGAUUAGAGGCAGAGCGUCUGCUUGGCUUGUAGAAGGUGGCCGGUUCAAUUCCUGCCAUCUCCA